UACGGAGGGAGCUAGCGUUGUUCGGAAUUACUGGGCGUAAAGCGUGCGUAGACGGUAGCGUAAGUCAGAUGUGAAAGCCCCGGGCUCAACCUGGGAACUGCAUUUGAGACUGCUCUGCUCGGGUGCGGAAGAGGGAAGCGGAAUUUCCGGUGUAGCGGUGAAAUGCGUAGAUAUCGGAAGGAACACCAGUGGCGAAAGCGGCUUCCUGGUCCGACACCGACGUUCAGGCACGAAAGCGUGGGGAGCAAACAGG
RNAcentral lists this ribosomal RNA (253 nucleotides) under uncultured bacterium. RNAcentral describes it as "partial 16S ribosomal RNA". It matches the Rfam family "Bacterial small subunit ribosomal RNA", at positions 524 to 776 of the family's 1533-position model. The record is from RNAcentral.